Molecule: unclassified non-coding RNA, 253 nt
Filed under: uncultured Alphaproteobacteria bacterium
Lineage: Bacteria; Pseudomonadati; Pseudomonadota; Alphaproteobacteria
Description: contains 16S-23S intergenic spacer region
Rfam family: Bacterial small subunit ribosomal RNA
Source: RNAcentral
UACGUAGGUGGCAAGCGUUGUCCGGAAUUACUGGGCGUAAAGGGCGCGUAGGCGGAACAUUAGGUUAGGGGUGAAAGGCCUGGGCUCAACCUGGGAACGGCCUCUAAGACUGAUGAUCUUGAGUUCGGAAGAGGAUGGCGGAAUUCCCAGUGUAGAGGUGAAAUUCGUAGAUAUUGGGAAGAACACCGGUGGCGAAGGCGGCCAUCUGGUCCGGAACUGACGCUGAGGCGCGUAAGCGUGGGGAGCAAACAGG